AGCGAAUAGAUACCCGGGUAGUCCCAGCCGUAAACGAUGCUCGCUAGGUGUCAGGCAUGGCGCGACCGUGUCUGGUGCCGCAGGGAAGCCGUGAAGCGAGCCACCUGGGAAGUACGGCCGCAAGGCUGAAACUUAAAGGAAUUGGCGGGGGAGCACAACAACGGGUGGAGCCUGCGGUUUAAUUGGACUCAACGCCGGACAACUCACCGGGGGCGACAGCAAUAUGUAGGCCAAGCUGAAGACUUUGCCUGAAUCGCUGAGAGGAGGUGCAUGGCCGUCGCCAGUUCGUACUGUGAAGCAUCCUGUUAAGUCAGGCAACGAGCGAGACCCGUGCCCACUGUUACCAGCAUGUCCUCGGUAGUG
RNAcentral lists this ribosomal RNA (363 nucleotides) under uncultured bacterium. RNAcentral describes it as "bacterial SSU rRNA". It matches the Rfam family "Archaeal small subunit ribosomal RNA", at positions 723 to 1089 of the family's 1478-position model. The record is from RNAcentral.